UCUGGGAUAUCACUUGUGGGACAAAAAAAACAAUAUAAACGACCAAACUGAUAUAGCCCAAGGACAAUUUAAGAAAAAUAAAUACACCAUUUAAGUAACAGUCCCUCCCUCGUUCAUACAAAUGAAAUCCAUCAACCCUAAUUUCUCAAAGUUCUUCUUACUACAGGAGCAGCAAAGAGAGUGACACAAGAAAAUGGAUACGAGCGAUGCUCACGAAAUUGCUUGUCUGGUGAUGAUCGUUAAACUAACAAUCAAAUGAUUUCAAAUGGGGUAAUCAAGAGAGCCAGGAGAGGAUCCUUCUGCCAAGAGCCAGAUAGAAAAGAAGCAGCGUGUUGAAAAGAAUGAAAAGAACCAGUUAUGGAAUCUGAAACAAGCUGCUAAGGUUCGUGCUCUGCAAAGGUAUGACAUAGUCAACAUGAGUUUAUCUUAAAAACAUUAACUUGGAUGCCACAUUGGCAUAUUCCAUAUCUAUGAAAAAAAGAAGAAGAAAAAAUCACCGAAUUCCGGAUAUUUUUCUAUUCUACACACCUUUAGUAGGGCGGUGAAUAAGUCAUUUUCUCUUUUUACCACGUUUUAAUCAUUUCUGGUAUUACUAAUUUAUCUUGAAUCUAAGAUCCAAAGGCCAAGAUUAAUUCAGUUAAAAUCUAAGAGAUAUUAUAUUAUGUUGAAGAUAUUUUAUAAUAAAAGUUUGGAUAUUCCUUCCUAAUAGUUUGGCUUAAUUUUUGGUAUGACAGACUUAUAAAUAAUAAUCUUCACCUUCUCUAAAAUCACCGUCCAAUUCUUCUUCUAAUAAUAAUGUUAUCAUUUUGGUGGGAACCCGGAGGAGGAACAAUCAGUUCAAUGUUUAGCGUGAUGAUAUUUGCCUCUCACAUCAGUGUGUCUAAGGAAGUUUGCGCUUUUGAGAACCUACCCAUUGAAAUUGAACAAGGUGCUGCCUCAUCAUCACCUACAAUUUCUAGUGAAAGUUGUUCCAAAGGGGUUCAGGAAGCUACUGCUAAUCCCAAGAAGUCUUCCUUAGCAUGUGAUUCAGUUAUGACACUACUCGACAUGUAUGCCGGGAUGUCUACAGGACUUUGCAUGGGUGCAGCUGCAUCGGAUGUCGAUCUUACCUUUGCUGAUUACAUGUUCGAAAUUGAUACCUUCCAGACCAUGCAUGGUCUUGACGGAAGACAGACACGCAUAGGAGAUGCUGCGACAUCUUCCUGUUUCCUCAUACUAGAACUGAUAAAAAGAAGUUACAAAGUAAACCCGAGUUCAGUAUUGAUGGGCAGAAAAAACUGCCGCAUAUACUGCCGCUACCUGGAACUGUCGAUGUGAUAUGUGGUGGCCCUCCCUGCCAAGUGGAUGGUGAACUUUCUACGCUUGAGCAGACUCAUCCAUGGAAGCUUCGCUAUGGCUAUGAUCGUGUGAAUGAUGAUAAAGAUGUUUCCAUCCUCGAGGCCAAGAUGACUGAUGGUAUUGGUAUGUCAUAUAUCAUAAAUAAUUUAGCAGUUCACCAGUUCUCAAUUUCUUUUACUUUUUAGUAUAGUCAAGACUCAAAUGUUUUUUUGGUGAAUGUUUAUUAAUAGAACAAGAAUAGUUUUAGGGGAUAUUUUUGUGUAUUAUGAUGUUGUUCGAGUAAUGUGAACUGUGAAGUCAGUGCAGACGCUUCUUUGAUUCUUAAACCUAUGAAAAAGAAGUUAAGGACCAAUUUUAUCUCAGAGUAUCUUAAUUGCUGGACAAAUUUAGCUUUUAUGACUGUACUCUUAUUAUAGUGAGUAUAAUGCGAAGAAGCGUUUCAUUCUAGUCUAUUUAGCAUCUGGUAAUUUUGGGCUUCCCCAGUACCACAUGGGAGGAGCAUUUCUCCGGGGGCCAAAACUACAGAGAAACUACUUCAAUUUCCUGUACCUAAGCACAAGGUUAUUGAACGCGGGCGUUCCCCCAAGGCAUUCGAGAAAAAUCUUGUCAAAGGGGAUGAAAUAUAUAAGCUGAAGGAAUUACUCCUUGAAGAUGCUAUUAGAGAUUUGCCUUCGAUAACAACCGACAACAAAGAAGACGAGAGGGACAAUGGGGAUGAUCCUAGGACAGAUUUCCAGAGAAACAUACGCUUGCCAAAGCACGAGUUGAUGGCAUCAGCUAACACCCGAUUUAAGGAAUAUGUGAUGCCAAAGCUCUAUGAUCACCGGCCUCUGAAAUUGAGUGACCGUGUAUGCAAAAUUCCAAAGAAGAAGCGUGCAGGUGUGUAACCCUUAUCUUCGCCAAUGCCUCCUCGUAUAGUUCUCUCCAACAUCCCAUAUUGACACGCGGUGAAAGAAUACCCGCGAUCCUUUUUACCAUUUCAAUGAAAUCUGCAGGAAAUAAAAACUUGCAAUACAGUAGCAUCUUCUGCUGGUGUUCUUGCUUAACAACAAGAAGGAUGCUUUUCUGACUCCAAUGAGAUGACAUGAGGAAGUACUAGCAUAUCUCGUUCGACCUUGAAUUGGUCUCCCUUGACUGGUAGACAUAACUCGGUGGUAUUGCUAGGCAUAUGUACGAGAUGCAAUUCAAGAGUCCUACUGGUACAAUGAGAAGGGUUGAAGUGUAAUUGGUGAUGCAUAAAUACCAAGAUAUCCCAGAAAUUGAUCCCACAUCUUACAAAGCGACUUCAAGAAAACUCGUUGCAAGUUCAUUUGUUUUUUAAGUUCAGUAGAUAUUAGAGUUUAGAUACAAAUCUAAGAUUGAACUGGAAGAAGGAUAGAGUUAUUUCCUGUAGAACAUGCCAUGUCAUGAUAUUUUCUGGUAAGCAGUAAGAAGUGGUAGACAGUCUAUUAUCUGUUAUUCAAAUUUGGAUAUAUAUAUGGGUUCAUGACAUUCACCGAGUACUAAAUUUUGAAAAAUGUGGUACACAAGUUGUUGCAGA
Molecule: RNA transcript, 2878 nt
Organism: Papaver somniferum (opium poppy)
Lineage: Eukaryota; Viridiplantae; Streptophyta; Magnoliopsida; Ranunculales; Papaveraceae
Exons: 13
Source: RefSeq, a predicted model, not a curated record